Acanthosepion pharaonis is the source of this 112-nucleotide non-coding RNA. NCBI's taxonomy places the organism in Eukaryota, Metazoa, Mollusca, Cephalopoda, Sepiida, Sepiidae. The record is from the annotation of a GenBank genome assembly.
UAUGGCUAUAUCAUGUUGAAACACCAGUUCCCAUACAAUCACUGAAGUUAAGCAAUUUCAAGCUUGAUCAGUACCUAGAUGGGUGACUGCUUGGGGGAUAUCAGGUGCUGUA